RNAcentral lists this ribosomal RNA (162 nucleotides) under Phaseolus vulgaris (common bean). RNAcentral's name for it is "5.8S ribosomal RNA". It matches the Rfam family "5.8S ribosomal RNA". From Rfam's summary of the family: 5.8S ribosomal RNA (5.8S rRNA) is a component of the large subunit of the eukaryotic ribosome. The record is from RNAcentral. Lineage: Eukaryota; Viridiplantae; Streptophyta; Magnoliopsida; Fabales; Fabaceae.
AAAAUGACUCUCGGCAACGGAUAUCUCGGCUCUUGCAUCGAUGAAGAACGUAGCGAAAUGCGAUACUUGGUGUGAAUUGCAGAAUCCCGUGAACCAUCGAGUCUUUGAACGCAAGUUGCGCCCAAAGCCAUUAGGCUGAGGGCACGCCUGCCUGGGUGUCAC